Molecule: long non-coding RNA, 661 nt
Organism: Micropterus dolomieu (smallmouth bass)
Lineage: Eukaryota; Metazoa; Chordata; Actinopteri; Centrarchiformes; Centrarchidae
Exons: 5
Source: RefSeq, a predicted model, not a curated record
CUUGCUAGCAUUUUUUGCUGCUGGUCGCACCGCCUAGCAGCAAUGGACAACGGCUAUGGAAGAAAUGCAGACUAGGCCCAAACUGCAAGGCCAGUCUUUUACGUGUACAUAAACUUCUGAGCCAACAGCUGGAUGGUGCAAGUCGACGCAAAUGCAUGCUAAGCUGCAUGCAAACACCAGCAACUUGCCAGCUCUUGCAGCAGCACACCUCCACAAACUCCAGCUCUCUUCUGUCAAAAUGCCAGACUCUAACGAAGCUGCGCCAGCACCGUGCCAGGUCAUCAAAGAGGAUGUUGACAAAUGUGUCAGAGAGAAGGGAGCAGAGGGCUGUAAAGAUCUGAUAGAUGCCUUCCAGGCCUGUAUAAAAACCCUGUCUGAGGGAUCAUAAUACAUAAGGAAAUGCAUCUUAAUAAAAUCUUAUCAAAGUGCUUCACUUUCCCAGCAUUCCCUUCCUUGCCUAUUGCACUGGACUGAACCAUCUGAAAAACUGAAGAGGGGGUGAUGAGACUGAGCUUCCGAUACUGUAUACUUCUGUCAAUGUGAAACCUUUUCGUCAUAAAUGUUAUAACUCCAUCAUGGACUCUAGUAUAAAUCUAAUCAUGUAUGUACCGUAACAUUCUUAUACACACAAAUACAAUAAAUAUAAAGCUUAUCCACCAUA